Molecule: long non-coding RNA, 1538 nt
Organism: Thalassophryne amazonica
Lineage: Eukaryota; Metazoa; Chordata; Actinopteri; Batrachoidiformes; Batrachoididae
Exons: 3
Source: RefSeq, a predicted model, not a curated record
GCCAUACAAUAAUUAAAGAAAAACCCCAACGGUCAAAACGACCCCCUGUGAGCAAGCACUUGGCAACAAAAAUGUGCAGCGUAACAGCGGUUUACGCCAGCUCAGGGGGAAAAAAAAAAAAAAAACAUUAAAGGAAUAGCAUUUUUCACAUCAGGAAUAUAAUCAUGUUUCUGUGAAAUGAAACACUUCUAAACUGUACCUGUCACCACUUUAUUUUUAAGGAGACAAAUUGGUAAGGUGGCUUUAAAUUCUUUUUAAAAUGCCACAAAGUGAUUUUAAACCGGGAUACAUAAGAGCAAAAAAGAAAGAAAGCAGAAGGUAUAUAAAGGACAAAGAAUUGACCACAGGUUAAAUAAAAAAAACACACAAAAAAAAAAAAUCACAGUACACCAUAGUUUUAAAGAAUGAUGACCUACUAGACAUUAUGAAACUUAGGUGCUCAAAAAACAAAGACACAAUGAUGACCAGUUGGCAACCUUAACACACUCACUCCAGUUACCAAACAUACACAACAACAAAGUGACUAAAUAACUGUGCAGUUCAACAAAUUAUAAUAAAAUUAGAACAAGCAGAAUCUCAACUUAAUUACUGUUUAUGUUUUCUGUUGUCCGUGCCUGUCGUUGGGAGCGUCCGUACACUACACUUGUGCGUUCGUGUUGAAGGCAGCAACACAACUUAAGUUUUCACAAAUCUUUUUAGUCAAGUUCAACUUUUUUGUCUCGUAACAUAAAUGCUGUUGCAUUCUGAUCAUAUUUGAAAUAACUAGUGACCAAACGCUAAUUGGCUAAGAACAUUAAUACCAUAUUAAUAAAUAAUAAUAAUAAAAAAAAAACAUGCACAGAAUCCUGCUGUUAUUCUAGUUACACCACAGUCACUUUAGUGAAUAUUUUCUAGCUAUUCGUAACCUGAGUGUAUUCAAGUACUGUGGAUGUCAUAAAUAUGUGCAGUACUGUUGGAGAAGGAAGUAAAGCCAUUUUUGACUUCGUAACAAAGAAAAGUGUCAGCUUCAAAGUUAAACACCAAGAUGUCGGUAGAUCAGGCUUCUCAAUAUAAAUGUUUCUAAAAUUAUCUUCCCUAGACUCAAACUGAAAGUAAAUCUGUACAUAAAUUAAUUACAAAUAUAAAAAUCUAGAUGAUGGGUUGCAUAAGUAAUAGCCCCUUUGGUAUAAUACUUGUAAAUAACCAGUGUAAUUUCCAGUUUUCCUCAGACAAGUCAGAGAAUGGAUACAUGAACAUUUCCAAGUUACUGAAUAUGUCUUGAACUUUAUUUACAUCAGUUUUGCAGAAAUACAAACAGUAUGGCACUCUAUGGUAAAUCUGUGUGGAGCAGACAGUUCUCAAAAACUGAGUGACUGUGCAAGAAGGAGAACAGUGAGGAAAGCCACCAAGACACCCAGACAACCCAGAAAAAGUUACAGGCUUCUGUGGCUGUGAUUGGAGAAAUUGUACAUAGUGCAAGUUUUGUACUUUGUAUCCCCAGUUUCACAGCUUCAUAAUGAAGGGGUAUAGAGGAGAUUUACUUUCACCAAAAUAUCAAA